Molecule: long non-coding RNA, 341 nt
Filed under: Elaeis guineensis (African oil palm)
Lineage: Eukaryota; Viridiplantae; Streptophyta; Magnoliopsida; Arecales; Arecaceae
Description: long non-coding RNA (EGUI_LNC005495)
Source: RNAcentral
CCAAACCCUACCCAAUACCCAAUCGGAUAAGAAAAGAGAUACCCAUCCCCAUACCCAACGGGUUCGGAGAUACCCGUGGGUAACCCAUUUCCCCAUACCCAAUCCAUACCCGCCCCAUACCCAACCCAUACCCGUCCAUUCUAUACCAAAAAAAAAAGUAAAUAAUUUUAUGCAUAUUAUCAAUCAAAAAUAGAAUUACCAAUUAUAUAUAUAUACAUACAUACAUACGCACAUACACACUUCUAACACACACACACAUACAUACAUGCAUACAUAUAUGCAUGCAUACAUAUACAUACAUACAUAUAUAUAAUUAUAUAUAUAUAUAUAUAGAGNNNNNN